This 494-nucleotide ribosomal RNA is filed under the name uncultured bacterium. RNAcentral describes it as "bacterial SSU rRNA". It matches the Rfam family "Bacterial small subunit ribosomal RNA", at positions 33 to 507 of the family's 1533-position model. The record is from RNAcentral.
GAGACACGCUGGCGGCGUGGAUUAGGCAUGCAAGUCGGACGUAGGGCUUUAUCGUAAGAUAGAGUUUGAGAGUGGCGAACGGGUGAGUAACACGUAGGAAUCUACCCGUUAAGACGGGACAACCAGGGAAACUUGGGCUAAUACCGGAUGAGAGUGCGAGAGAUUGACAUUUAAAAGGAUGGCGAAAGUUGUCGCUUAGGGAUGAGCCUGCGGUCUAUUAGUUAGUUGGUGAGGUAAGAGCUCACCAAGGCGAUGAUAGAUAGGCGGCCUUAACGGGUGGUCGCCCACACUGGGAUUGAGAUACGGCCCAGACUCCUACGGGAGGCAGCAGUCGAGAAUAGUCUACAAUGGCCGGAAGGCUGAUAGUGCGACGCCGCGUGAACGAGGGAGCCCUUCGGGGUGUAAAGUUCUUUUCUAUACGAGCAGUGCUAUAUAUAUGGAUAGGUAUAUAUAGAGGGAUAGUAGUAUAGGAAUAAGCAACGGCUAACUCCGUG